RNAcentral lists this long non-coding RNA (1099 nucleotides) under Homo sapiens (human). RNAcentral's name for it is "HSALNT0207412". The record is from RNAcentral. Lineage: Eukaryota; Metazoa; Chordata; Mammalia; Primates; Hominidae.
CAGGGGCUGUCACCACUGCCGUGUAAGAUAAGGAAGCCAAGGCUCCGGGCAGUGGCGUGAGCAGCCCAGGGUCACACAGCAGGCAGUGGCAGAGCCGGGGCAGACUCAGGCACCGACCAGGCUCACGCACACGGCCUGUGUUGCCAUGAGCCCCGAGAUGAAAGGACCUCGUCUGUGGAUCCCCGUUCUGUGGGAAAUGCAUUAAACGGCAGCUCUUCCAAGAGGCAAUUAGAUGAGGAAAUCUGUCUUCCGCCGGACUGAAGAUAAUUAGAGAGACUGGAUAAAUUGUUAUUGACGGACGAGCGUGGAUGGAGUGCCUACUAUAUGCCUCACGCUGUGGCUGGUUUGGGGACAGGACGAGCAUGGAUGGAGCGCCUACUGUAUGCCUCACCCUGUGGCUGGUUUGGGGACAGGACGAGCGUGGAUGGAGCGCCUACUGUAUGCCUCACCCUAUGGCUGGUCUGGGGACGGGACAAGCGUGGAUGGAGCGCCUACUGUAUGCCUCACGCUGUGGCUGGUCUGGGAGAUGGGAUGAGCGUGGAUGGAGCGCCUACUGUAUGCCUCACCCUAUGGCUGGUCUGGGAGAUGGGAUGAGCGUGGAUGGAGCGCCUACUGUAUGCCUCACCCUGUGGCUGGUCUGGGGCCUUGCCAUGUGGCGCCCAUUUCACAGAUGAUGAAACAGAAGCACGCAGAAUUCAGUAACUUUUUUCAAUGUCAAAUAGCUAAUGGGAGAAACAAGAUAUAAACCAGGACACUAGACAAGGUGCAAAGAUGACUCGUGCAGUUCUGCCCUGUAAGAAUCCACAGUUGAAGUAAGAAGCAAGAGAAAUGGAACAGACGAUGAGACAAAGCAGACAGCGGUGACAGCAUCCCACCACACGGCUGCCCUGCUGGAGAAUUCACGGGGAAGUCCAGGAUGUGGCCGGCCCGUGUGCAGACCAGGAGCUCACUGACCGAUCAACACAUCAGGCAGGGGGUUGUCAACCGUGGCCUCGCCUGAGGGUCCCCCAGGGGCUAAGGACCCAGAUACUCAGGACACAGGCCAGCCGGACCCCGCACAUCAGUCGCUGGAGGGGGUGGAUGUUUGAAGCUCCCCAGG